UACGGAGGGUGCAAGCGUUGUUCGGAAUCAUUGGGCGGAAAGCGCGUGUAGGCGGCUUGGCAAGUCGGUUGUGAAAUCCCGGGGCCCAACCCCGGAACUGCAUUCGAAACUGCCUCGCUAGAGUCCCGGAGAGGAAGGCGGAAUUCCCGGUGUAGAGGUGAAAUUCGUAGAUAUCGGGAGGAACACCAGCGGCGAAGGCGGCCUUCUGGACGGUGACUGAUGCUGAGACGCGAAAGCGUGGGGAGCAAACAGG
This 253-nucleotide ribosomal RNA is filed under the name uncultured bacterium. RNAcentral's name for it is "partial 16S ribosomal RNA". It matches the Rfam family "Bacterial small subunit ribosomal RNA", at positions 524 to 776 of the family's 1533-position model. The record is from RNAcentral.